UUGUCCACUUGAGGGAACUGCUGGGCAAAAUCCACCAGGUUGGAGGAAUUUCUGCAGCAUGUUGAUUUUGUUACUUUGAGUCCACCUCUUCAGCAGGCCAUCUAAAAAGAUCCAUUGUGCCCAGGUUGUCUGGUAGGCAGGAUAGGGUGGUCUCUAGUUUCACUGACAUUUGCUUGAGCCAAUGGUGCUUUCCUCCUUCCCGUCACAGGCAAGAAGGAAAAACCCCAGAAAUUCUGAUAAUCCAUAAUGCUCUGGUAUAUUUGGGAUUGACCAAAGGAUCUUCUCACCGAAUAUCAUCAUCCAUUUGGAGAUUUGGAAUCAGAUAAGGUGGCGUAUUUGACUGCUGGGUGAUGACCUAAUUGCUGCAUUAAAUGCCAAUUUUCUUUGUUUUCCAAAAAUCAGCUGUAAAAUAAAAAAGUUUUAUAGGAUGUUGCUUAAAAAUGAUGUUACAGACUUUAGCCAGCAGGGGGCGGAUUUUACAGACCCCCAUAAUUAAAAAAACACUUCUGGAGUCUGGGACAAUGAUGAGAUGAAAAUAUCCAAGACCACGGAGAAUCCAUUAAAAAGAUCCGCUGGAUUUUACAGUGGCAAGCCAAAAGGAAACGCCUCAAUUCCUCAGAUGUAGUUCUAGCUUUCCUUGAGGUAAUUUCCCAGCAAGGUUCAACCAAGCAAGCGCAGCAAAUCCAGUAGAAGAAAGAAAAAGCCUUAAGAUCCUUGAUUUCUCCUUUUUCCACUGAGGUCUCCAGACUGCGAAUGGUUUGCAAGUGCUGUAUGUUGUUGGAUUCCAGAUGUGCUUAGCUCAGGCAUCAUGCGAUUGGCUGCGCGCUCAACCCAGUUCCCGCGUCUCAGAUUUCUCCACAUCCAGAGGCAGAGCAGAGGAGGUACAUGGACCACAAAAAGCUUCAUGUUAGAGUUUAUCCACUGUACACCUGCCAGCUAGCUGCAACAUGAUCAGUACAAGACUAUCAUACCAGUGUGGCUGUCACAGCUUGUAUCUAAUGCAGUCAAACACAAGUGUGAAAACCAAAUGUAAACAAUGUACAUUCACAGCUGAACUAUAGAUGGCAAAGGGGGCCAAAACCAACUUGAGCAUUUUGAUUAUUUAGUGUUUUUUUUUUUUUUUUAAUAUGUAUUACACUUAUUAUAAUGGAUUUUUCAG
Labeo rohita (rohu) is the source of this 1159-nucleotide long non-coding RNA. RefSeq lists it as uncharacterized. The record is from RefSeq and is a predicted model, not a curated record. NCBI's taxonomy places the organism in Eukaryota, Metazoa, Chordata, Actinopteri, Cypriniformes, Cyprinidae. The transcript has 5 exons.